This 497-nucleotide ribosomal RNA is filed under the name uncultured bacterium. RNAcentral describes it as "partial 16S ribosomal RNA". It matches the Rfam family "Bacterial small subunit ribosomal RNA", at positions 28 to 507 of the family's 1533-position model. The record is from RNAcentral.
GAUGAACGCUGGCGGCGUGCCUAAUACAUGCAAGUCGAGCGAACAGACGAGGAGCUUGCUCCUCUGACGUUAGCGGCGGACGGGUGAGUAACACGUGGAUAACCUACCUAUAAGACUGGGAUAACUUCGGGAAACCGGAGCUAAUACCGGAUAACAUGUUGAACCGCAUGGUUUAACAGUGAAAGACGGUCUUGCUGUCACUUAUAGAUGGAUCCGCGCCGCAUUAGCUAGUUGGUAAGGUAACGGCUUACCAAGGCAACGAUGCGUAGCCGACCUGAGAGGGUGAUCGGCCACACAGGAACUGAGACACGGUCCAGACUCCUACGGGAGGCAGCAGUAGGGAAUCUUCCGCAAUGGGCGAAAGCCUGACGGAGCAACGCCGCGUGAGUGAAGAAGGUCUUCGGAUCGUAAAACUCUGUUAUUAGGGAAGAACAAAUGUGUAAGUAACUAUGCACGUCUUGACGGUACCUAAUCAGAAAGCCACGGCUAACUACGUG